AAGAAAGAAUGCAAGAACUGCUAACUCCUGCCUCCAUACCUAAAACUAUGGCUUUCUUA
Molecule: transfer RNA, 59 nt
Filed under: Lenothrix cana
Lineage: Eukaryota; Metazoa; Chordata; Mammalia; Rodentia; Muridae
Description: tRNA-Ser
Source: RNAcentral